UACACCUAACUUAUUGCGAAAUAAUUGGAAACUGGAAAAAGGAAGUAUGAACUUGGAUGUCCUCCUGCAGGACUGGAGGUAAAAGGAAGCCAUACACACAAAUAAAAAAGGCCAGUAUUUACAGUAUCUUGUUAAAACCAGCCAUGAACAUAAGCGAACGCACUGCACUGAAUGAUAUAAAUGCCUCCCUAAUCCCGGAUACAUGGAACGAGUCUCCCCCUGGUUGAAUAAACUUGAACAAUUAACAGUGACCCCUUAUUUGUUCUUUGGGGUCCCGGGAUUAGGAAUAAAACCAAAGGGAUCGAUUUGAAAUGAGAGACACCUCUGAGUCACACUUAAUCAUAACUACUCGACCUCCAGCAACAGCGAAAGAAGUAAGAAAAAUGAUAAAUGGCUGAAGGACAAACAGACAAUUCAUGUUUUAAGUUGCCAAUGCCACAGAAGGAAUGAUCACAUGGGUCAGAAAGGAAUGGGACACUAUGAAAAGCAACAGCUGCCUACUAUGGCUCUGGUCCAAGUACCCUACGAACUAUGGGCAAAGCAUAAGAAUCAUGCGGGAUGAGUGUAUUCAGCCCCUGAACAUAAACUGACUAUAAAAAAGGGGCGCUGCUUUGCCAUGAAUUAAAACAAUAUUGACUGGCCCCAGAGGCUGAAGAAGGGAUAGCUAUAGUCUAUUCACUAUUAGUGAAAAUGCAAAGUCUGUGUAAUAGACCCCGAAAGUGGGAGAACGUAAUGACAUAUUAUUCUGUCAUCAAUAACGACAGAAGCUGACACCUUUACAGUAAUUGACCUAUGUUCAGCCCGUUUCCCCAUAUCCCUGCAUAAAGACCGAUAGCCUAUUGUUCCGUGGCUUUGCCAGCAGUGGUGGAAUAACAUGCCAGCCUGCUUACGCGUUGUAAUGGUGAAGGACUACAAUUAUAGAAUGUUAAGCAGUGAACUAGCUGCUGUAAGGUAAACAAGCUUCUUUGAAGA
Long non-coding RNA from Amblyraja radiata (thorny skate), 972 nucleotides. RefSeq lists it as uncharacterized. NCBI's taxonomy places the organism in Eukaryota, Metazoa, Chordata, Chondrichthyes, Rajiformes, Rajidae. The transcript has 3 exons. The record is from RefSeq and is a predicted model, not a curated record.